This 492-nucleotide ribosomal RNA is filed under the name uncultured bacterium. Its description in RNAcentral is "partial 16S ribosomal RNA". It matches the Rfam family "Bacterial small subunit ribosomal RNA", at positions 29 to 507 of the family's 1533-position model. The record is from RNAcentral.
AGUGAACGCUGGCGGUAGGCCUAACACAUGCAAGUCGAACGGCAGCACAGUAAGAGCCUGCUCUUACGGGUGGCGAGUGGCGGACGGGUGAGGAAUACAUCGGAAUCUACUUUUUCGUGGGGGAUAACGUAGGGAAACUUACGCUAAUACCGCAUACGACCUACGGGUGAAAGCAGGGGAUCUUCGGACCUUGCGCGAUUGAAUGAGCCGAUGUCGGAUUAGCUAGUUGGCGGGGUAAAGGCCCACCAAGGCGACGAUCCGUAGCUGGUCUGAGAGGAGGAUCAGCGACACUGGAACGGGGACACGGUCCAGACUCCUACGGGAGGCAGCAGUGGGGAAUAUUGGACAAUGGGCGCAAGCCUGAUCCAGCCAUACCGCGUGGGUGAAGAAGGCCUUCGGGUUGUAAAGCCCUUUUGUUGGGAAAGAAAAGCAGCAGGUUAAUACCCCGCUGUUCUGACGGUACCCAAAGAAUAAGCACCGGCUAACUUCGUG